RNAcentral lists this ribosomal RNA (253 nucleotides) under uncultured bacterium. Its description in RNAcentral is "partial 16S ribosomal RNA". It matches the Rfam family "Bacterial small subunit ribosomal RNA", at positions 524 to 776 of the family's 1533-position model. The record is from RNAcentral.
GACGAACCGUGCGAACGUUGUUCGGAAUCCCUGGGCUUAAAGGGCGCGUAGGCGGCCCGCCGCGUCCGGGGUGAAAUCCUCCCGCUCAACGGGAGAACGGCCUCGGAUACGGGCGGGCUGGAGGGGGGUAGGGGCAGGCGGAACUGUGGGUGGAGCGGUGAAAUGCGUAGAUAUCGGGAAGAACACCAGUGGCGAAAGCGCGCUACGGGGCCAUAACUGACACUGAGGGACGAAAGCUAGGGGAGCGAAAGGG